GACGAACGCUGGCGGCGUGCUUAACACAUGCAAGUCGAACGGAGAUUAUUUUAAGCUUGCUUUUGAUGAUCUUAGUGGCAAACGGGUGAGUAACGCGUAGGCAACCUGCCUUUCCGAUGGGGACAACAGUUCGAAAGGACUGCUAAUACCAAAUGAUGUAUAUCUUCCGCAUGGAGGACAUACCAAAGACGGCCUCUAUUUAUAAGCUGUCACGGAAAGAUGGGCCUGCGUCUGAUUAGCCAGUUGGCGGGGUAAUGGCCCACCAAAGCGACGAUCAGUAGCCGGUCUGAGAGGAUGAACCGCCACACUGGAACUGAGACACGGUCCAGACUCCUACGGGAGGCAGCAGUGGGGAAUUUUGGACAAUGGGGGCAACCCUGAUCCAGCCAUGCCGCGUGAGUGAAGAAGGCCUUCGGGUUGUAAAGCUCUUUCGGCCGGGAAGAAAUCGCACGGGCUAAUACCCUGUGUGGAUGACGGUACCGGAAUAAGAAGCACCGGCUAACUACGUGCCAGCCGCCGCAGUAA
RNAcentral lists this ribosomal RNA (525 nucleotides) under uncultured bacterium. RNAcentral describes it as "partial 16S ribosomal RNA". It matches the Rfam family "Bacterial small subunit ribosomal RNA", at positions 28 to 523 of the family's 1533-position model. The record is from RNAcentral.